RNAcentral lists this transfer RNA (69 nucleotides) under Ictidomys tridecemlineatus (thirteen-lined ground squirrel). RNAcentral describes it as "Spermophilus tridecemlineatus (thirteen-lined ground squirrel) tRNA". It matches the Rfam family "tRNA". From Rfam's summary of the family: Transfer RNA (tRNA) molecules are approximately 80 nucleotides in length. Their secondary structure includes four short double-helical elements and three loops (D, anti-codon, and T loops). Lineage: Eukaryota; Metazoa; Chordata; Mammalia; Rodentia; Sciuridae. The record is from Rfam by way of RNAcentral.
GGGAUUGUGGCUCAGUGGUAGUGCACUUGCCUAGCAUGCUUGAGGCACUGGGUUCAAUUCUCAGCACCA